This 253-nucleotide ribosomal RNA is filed under the name uncultured bacterium. RNAcentral describes it as "partial 16S ribosomal RNA". It matches the Rfam family "Bacterial small subunit ribosomal RNA", at positions 524 to 776 of the family's 1533-position model. The record is from RNAcentral.
UACGUAGGGGGCUAGCGUUGUCCGGAAUCAUUGGGCGUAAAGAGCGUGUAGGCGGCUCGGUAAGUCCGCUGUGAAAGUCCAGGGCUCAACCCUGGAAUGCCGGUGGAAACUGUCGAGCUAGAGUCCGGAAGAGGCGAGUGGAAUUCCUGGUGUAGCGGUGAAAUGCGUAGAGAUCCGGAGGAACACCGAAGGCGAAGGCAGUGUCCUGGCUGGUGACUGACGCUGAGGUGCGAAAGCUAGGGGAGCGAACGGG